GUCAAGUCAUCAUGGCCCUUACGGCCAGGGCUACACACGUGCUACAAUGGCAUAUACAAAGAGAAGCGACCUCGCGAGAGCAAGCGGACCUCAUAAAGUAUGUCGUAGUCCGGAUUGGAGUCUGCAACUCGACUCCAUGAAGUCGGAAUCGCUAGUAAUCGUAGAUCAGAAUGCUACGGUGAAUACGUUCCCGGGCCUUGUACACACCGCCCGUCACACCAUGGGAGUGGGUUGCAAAAGAAGUAGGUAGCUUAACC
RNAcentral lists this ribosomal RNA (257 nucleotides) under Acinetobacter baumannii. RNAcentral's name for it is "partial 16S ribosomal RNA". It matches the Rfam family "Bacterial small subunit ribosomal RNA", at positions 1184 to 1440 of the family's 1533-position model. Lineage: Bacteria; Pseudomonadati; Pseudomonadota; Gammaproteobacteria; Moraxellales; Moraxellaceae. The record is from RNAcentral.